UUGAACUUUUUUUUUUUUUGCUUCUUUCUUGCUCAGCUGCAAGUAGUUGUGGGUGGGUCAGCUCAUCCUUCUGCCUCAACCUAGUUCCAGCCCACCCUGAACUAAGCAGAUCUGGCUGGCUUCCCUAACAUAAGGAGGGCCUUUGAGUCACCCUUGCCUCCUCUACAGGGUGUAAAGUAAAAAUCAGCAAAAUGGCCAAAAAGGGCCAUGAUAAGCACCUGGCUUACUUACUACUGCAGCCUGUGGCUCCUUUCAUUCCAGUGACCCAUUCCAUCCCUGGAAAGAAUUUGUUAGUCCUGCCACCUUUAGGUGUACUAAAGAGCUUGGUAAUGCAAGAGCAGCACUGGCUGAAUUAUCUGACCUGGCUGGUUCUCAGGGAAAUGCUGAAGUGAUUCCUGUACUACAAGGUCACAGAAAGCUUCCAAGGGUGUUUCCUACAGAUGAGGCAAUGACUGCAGCAGGAUUGCAAAUCAAGCAAGUUGGUGGACUGUGCCUAGAAGCUGAGGAGCUAAAGCCAGUGGUGGAAGAUUCAGACAGGGAUACAAACAACCCACUGCACUCUACCAAGGAGGAAGCAAAACAAGGAAUUUCCAGGAUGACCAACAGGCAGGAGCUGGCAUCAGGUCAGGUAAGACAAAAGCCAACAGACCAUGCUAUGCUGUAAGAGGAAGAAUAUUUGCAGCACAUCUGGAAUCAGGAAGCACCAGGAAGCUCUUCAAAGAGUUUGUUCUUACUGUCUUUCGAUCUCCUCCUAAGCAAGCUUUUAUAGAACAACUGGUUUUUGUUAUUAGAGGCAUGAGAAGGGGCUGCUUGCUCAACAGGACACUGGGCUAGGACUGGUGAAACUGAAACUGAGUGGAAUUAUUGGUUUAUCUAUUGUCGUCUUGUGUGUCUUUUUUUGGAGAAGUCACUAAAUCUGGGGGAGACCACUUUGCUGCUUCAAAAGGGAUGGGAAUGAGAAUAUACAUUAGUAAUUGUGAAAUGCUUAGAUAUUACAGUGAUAGCAGUAGUGCAAGUAGAUGGAUAAAUAAGUGCCUGUAAAAAGAGUGCAAAUGACUAUGGUGGUUUUCUUUUAAGUCCACAGAAGAAAGGAGCUCUACCCUGUGGCAGAAGUGCCAGAAAUGCCAAGUUGCAUCAUGGCUGCUAUCACACAGGUCAGCAAUGAGGAUUUGAAGGGACUGUCUAGGGUUCCUUUGUCCAAGGAAAAUGAGAAAGUUUUGAAGAUGCCAGCAGAAUCUACCAGUUCUCUAAAAUGUAAAAAAGCCAAACGUAAGGCUAGACACAGGUCUAGGCCACAGCAGGCUGUGAAAGAAAGUCAUAUCUUAAAACAAAUGACUGAUUGGAAAGUACACACUCCAGAUUGGAAAGAGAGUUCAGGCUCCCUGGAUGCUGAGAAAUGUGUUCAACAGGACACAGAUAGUGACAGCGGUGACCCACACAUUAAAGUUACCAGUUUCUUGGCACCUGUUGAUAAUGAAUGCUUUCCAAAAGGGCUUGCAAAAGAGUAUUUGCUUGUUCCGCUAAAUACUCUCAAGAAAUAUUCUACUCAGAAUUUUGACCAGCAGGUAGAAAAUUAUUUUAAAAAGCUCUAAGGUCUCAAACAAACUUGCUUAAACCAAACGUGUAGAAAUGUAAAUCCUGAUUUGCAUGUGUAUGGGGUAUUGCAAAACAAACUUUAAUUUUACAGUAAAUUGGAUGUGGUUUGGACAACUUAAAGCAUGUCAAGUACCAGAUUUGCUUUUGAAUUGGAAAGCAGAUCUAAGAACACUUAAUUUGCCUUGAUUUUUUUGCAUUCGGAGGUUGGACACCAAACAGUACUGAUACCUCAUCAAGAAAAGGGGGAGAAAGAUGUUUCAGACCAGCUUGGUACAGCCAUACUCCUUUUGCAAGCUAAAGGAUGUACCAGGAAAAGACUUGUACCAAAAAAAAAAAAAAGAGAGAAA
Molecule: long non-coding RNA, 1943 nt
Organism: Alligator mississippiensis (American alligator)
Lineage: Eukaryota; Metazoa; Chordata; Crocodylia; Alligatoridae
Exons: 2
Source: RefSeq, a predicted model, not a curated record